AGUGAACGCUGGCGGUAGGCCUAACACAUGCAAGUCGAACGGCAGCACAGUAAGAGCUUGCUCUUACGGGUGGCGAGUGGCGGACGGGUGAGGAAUACAUCGGAAUCUACUUUUUCGUGGGGGAUAACGUAGGGAAACUUACGCUAAUACCGCAUACGACCUACGGGUGAAAGCAUGGGAUCUUCGGACCUUGCGCGAUUGAAUGAGCCGAUGUCGGAUUAGCUAGUUGGCGGGGUAAAGGCCCACCAAGGCGACGAUCCGUAGCUGGUCUGAGAGGAUGAUCAGCCACACUGGAACUGAGACACGGUCCAGACUCCUACGGGAGGCAGCAGUGGGGAAUAUUGGACAAAGGGCGCAAGCCUGAUCCAGCGAUACCGCGUGGGUGAAGAAGGCCUUCGGGUUGUAAAGCCCUUUUGUUGGGAAAGAAAAGCAGCAGGUUAAUACCCCGCUGUUCUGACGGUACCCAAAGAAUAAGCACCGGCUAACUUCGUG
RNAcentral lists this ribosomal RNA (492 nucleotides) under uncultured bacterium. RNAcentral describes it as "partial 16S ribosomal RNA". It matches the Rfam family "Bacterial small subunit ribosomal RNA", at positions 29 to 507 of the family's 1533-position model. The record is from RNAcentral.